RNAcentral lists this ribosomal RNA (651 nucleotides) under Aciculosporium phalaridis. RNAcentral describes it as "eukaryotic LSU rRNA". It matches the Rfam family "Eukaryotic large subunit ribosomal RNA", at positions 1 to 669 of the family's 3401-position model. The record is from RNAcentral. Lineage: Eukaryota; Fungi; Ascomycota; Sordariomycetes; Hypocreales; Clavicipitaceae.
UUGACCUCGAAUCAGGCAGGAAUACCCGCUGAACUUAAGCAUAUCAAUAAGCGGAGGAAAAGAAACCAACAGGGAUUGCCCCAGUAACGGCGAGUGAAGCGGCAGCAGCUCAAAUUUGAAAUCUGGCCCCCCCGCGGGGGCCCGAGUUGUAAUUUGCAGAGGAUGCUUUUGGCGAGGCGCCUUCCGAGUUCCCUGGAACGGGACGCCGCAGAGGGUGAGAGCCCCGUCUGGUCGGACGCCGAGCCUCUGUAAAGCUCCUUCGACGAGUCGAGUAGUUUGGGAAUGCUGCUCUAAACGGGAGGUAUAUGUCUUCUAAAGCUAAAUAUCGGCCAGAGACCGAUAGCGCACAAGUAGAGUGAUCGAAAGAUGAAAAGCACUUUGAAAAGAGGGUUAAACAGUACGUGAAAUUGUUGAAAGGGAAGCGCUCGUGACCAGACUCGGGCGGGGCGGAUCACCCGGCGUUCUCGCCGGGGCACUCCGCCUGGCCCGGGCCAGCAUCAGCUCGCGCCGGGGGACAAAGGCGGCGGGAACGUGGCUCCUCCGGGAGUGUUAUAGCCCGCCGCGCAAUGCCCUGGGGCGGGCUGAGGUUCGCGCGUCCGCAAGGAUGCUGGCGUAAUGGUCACCAGCGACCCGUCUUGAAACACGGACCAA